GAGAUGUUGGUUAAGUCCCGCAACGAGCGCAACCCUUAUUGUUAGUUGCUACGAAAGAGCACUCUAGCGAGACUGCCGUUGACAAAACGGAGGAAGGUGGGGACGACGUCAAAUCAUCAUGCCCCUUAUGUCCUGGGCUACACACGUAAUACAAUGGCGCUUAACAGAGGAGGCGAAGCCGCGAGGUGGAGCGAAUCCCCAAAAAGCGUCUCAGUUCAGAUUGCAGGCUGCAACUCGCCUGUAUGAAGUCGGAAUUGCUAGUAAUCGCGGAUCAGCAUGCCGCGGUGAAUACGUUCCCGGGCCUU
This 305-nucleotide ribosomal RNA is filed under the name uncultured Oscillospiraceae bacterium. RNAcentral describes it as "bacterial SSU rRNA". It matches the Rfam family "Bacterial small subunit ribosomal RNA", at positions 1069 to 1382 of the family's 1533-position model. The record is from RNAcentral. Lineage: Bacteria; Bacillati; Bacillota; Clostridia; Eubacteriales; Oscillospiraceae.